CGUCACACCAUGGGAGCGGGUUCUGCCAGAAGUAGUUAGCCUAACCGCAAGGAGGGCGAUUACCACGGCAGGGUUCGUGACUGGGGUGAAGUCGUAACAAGGUAGCCGUAUCGGAAGGUGCGGCUGGAUCACCUCCUUU
Molecule: ribosomal RNA, 139 nt
Filed under: Burkholderiaceae bacterium
Lineage: Bacteria; Pseudomonadati; Pseudomonadota; Betaproteobacteria; Burkholderiales; Burkholderiaceae
Description: partial 16S ribosomal RNA
Rfam family: Bacterial small subunit ribosomal RNA
Source: RNAcentral